This 468-nucleotide ribosomal RNA is filed under the name uncultured bacterium. RNAcentral describes it as "partial 16S ribosomal RNA". It matches the Rfam family "Bacterial small subunit ribosomal RNA", at positions 28 to 507 of the family's 1533-position model. The record is from RNAcentral.
GAUGAACGCUGGCGGCGUGCUUAACACAUGCAAGUCGAACGGACAGGCGCUGCUCUUGUGGGGUGCACGUGUGCCGCACGGGUGAGUAACACGCGAGUAUCCUGUCCCUGUAAUUCGGAUAACUUUAGGAAACUGGGGAUCUAACAGGAUAGGAUAUCUUGCUGCAUGGUGGGGGUUGGUAAGUUUCGGCGUUUGGGGCAGGUCUCGCGGCUUCUCAGCUUGUUGGGGGGGUAGUGGCUUACCAAGGCUUUGACGGGUAGCCGGCCUGAGAGGGUGACCGGCCACAUUGGGACUGAGGUACGGCCCAGACUGCGACGGGAGGCAGCAGUGGGGAAUAUUGCACAAUGGGCGGAAGCCUGAUGCAGCAACGCCGCGUGCGGGAAGACUGCCUUCGGGUUGUAAACCGCUUUCGCCUGUGACGAAGCGUGAGUGACGGUAAUGGGUAAAGAAGCACCGGCUAACUACGUG